Molecule: ribosomal RNA, 492 nt
Filed under: uncultured bacterium
Lineage: Bacteria
Description: partial 16S ribosomal RNA
Rfam family: Bacterial small subunit ribosomal RNA
Source: RNAcentral
AGUGAACGCUGGCGGUAGGCCUAACACAUGCAAGUCGAACGGCAGCACAGUAAGAGCUUGCUCUUACGGGUGGCGAGUGGCGGACGGGUGAGGAAUACAUCGGACUCUACUUUUUCGUGGGGGUUAACGUAGGGAAACUUACGCUAAUACCGCAUACGACCUACGGGUGAAAGCAGGGGAUCUUCGGACCUUGCGCGAUUGAAUGAGCCGAUGUGGGAUUAGCUAGUUGGCGGGGUAAAGGCCCACCAAGGCGACGAUCCGUAGCUGGUCUGAGAGGAUGGUCAGCCGCACUGGAGCGGAGACACGGUCCAGACGACUGAGGGAGGGAGCAGUGGGGAAUAGGGGACAGUGGGCGCAAGCCUGAUCCAGCCAGACCGCGUGGGUGAAAGAGGCGUUCGGGUUGUAAAGACGUUUUGUUGGGAAAGAAAAGCAGCAGGUUAAGACCACGCGGUUCUGACGGUACCCAAAGAAUAAGCACCGGCUAACUUCGUG